Molecule: ribosomal RNA, 1324 nt
Filed under: Crepidostomum illinoiense
Lineage: Eukaryota; Metazoa; Platyhelminthes; Trematoda; Plagiorchiida; Allocreadiidae
Description: eukaryotic LSU rRNA
Rfam family: Eukaryotic large subunit ribosomal RNA
Source: RNAcentral
UGACCUCGGAUCAGACGUGAAUACCCGCUGAACUUAAGCAUAUCACUAAGCGGAGGAAAAGAAACUAACAAGGAUUCCCUUAGUAACGGCGAGUGAACAGGGAUGAGCCCAGCACCGAAGCCUGUGGCCAUUUGGUUACUAGGCAAUGUGGUGUUUAGGUCGUUCCGCAGAGACACUGCUCCUCUCUAAGUCCAUCAAUGAGUACGGUUGUACUGACAUGGCCCAUGGAGGGUGAAAGGCCCGUAAGAGAGGAGUUUUGGUAUAACAGUGUCUCUCUGGAUUGACCUUGGAGUCGGGUUGUUUGGGAAUGCAGCCCUAAGCGGGUGGUAAACUCCAUCCAAGGCUAAAUACAAGCACGAGUCCGAUAGCGAACAAGUACCGUGAGGGAAAGUUGAAAAGUACUUUGAAGAGAGAGUAAACAGUGCGUGAAACCGCUUAGAGGUAAACGGGUGGAGUUGAACUGCAAUCUCUGAGAAUUCAGCUGGGGAAUUUUGCUUGAGCUUGGUCAAAUGGGCAGGGCCCCGGGGUAUGCUUAUUUGCAUGUUCUGACCUUCGGGUUGGGAUGCGCGUUGCUCUUAUCAAGGGCUGCGCGCCUCGGGUGUCCGGCUGGCUCUAUCGCCAGUGCACUUUCUCGGAGUGAUCACCACGACCGGCGCUGCUGCUUGGCUGUUAUUGUUAACCCGAACAUUCAUCGUCCUUGUGGCGUUGGGUGGUCGACACGGCAGGUAACUGGGGGCUUGCUUCGGCUUGCUUCUCGGUGUAUGUCGGCUUUAACGGUUCUAUGCGGUGUGUCGGAGACGGCGGCUAGUUGUGUGUGCAUGCGUAUCUAUCUGUUGGCAUAUUCUGGUUUGGUGGCUGUGUGCUUGUUCAAGCAGGCCCAGUGAUGGCCGGGGUGUGUCAGUGGGUGGUUGUGUGUGUGGCACUUUUCAGGGCCAACAGUCUGUGGUGUUGUGGUAGACUAUCCACCUGACCCGUCUUGAAACACGGACCAAGGAGAGUAACAUGUGCGCGAGUCAUUGGGCGUAACGAAACCCACAGGCGCAGUGAAAGUAAAGGUCUGGCUUGUCCAGUCUAAGGUGAGAUCCUGUCGUUGUUCAUGCGCGGUACCACCAAGCUUGGAGCGAUAGGCGCAUCACCGGCCCGUCCCAUAACGUGGUCACAGUCUCCGGAUUGUGCGCCGUGGGGGCGGGGCAUGAGCGUACAUGUUGAGACCCGAAAGAUGGUGAACUAUGCUUGCGCAGGUUGAAGCCAGAGGAAACUCUGGUGGAGGACCGCAGCGAUUCUGACGUGCAAAUCGAUCGUCAAACGUGAGUAUAGGGGCGAA